GACGAACGCUGGCGGCGUGCUUAACACAUGCAAGUCGAACGGAAAGGCCCUGCUUUUGUGGGGUACUCGAGUGGCGAACGGGUGAGUAACACGUGAGUACCCUGCCCUUGCCUUUGGGAUAACUUCAGGAACCUGGGGCUAAUCCCGGAUAGGAGCUCCUGCUGCAUGGUGGGGGUUGGAAAGUUUCGGCGGUUGGGGAUGGACUCGCGGCUUAUCAGCUUGUUGGUGGGGUAGUGGCUUACCAAGGCUUUGACGGGUAGCCGGCCUGAGAGGGUGACCGGCCACAUUGGGACUGAGAUACGGCCCAGACUCCUACGGGAGGCAGCAGUGGGGAAUAUUGCAUAAUGGGCGGAAGCCUGAUGCAGCAACGCCGCGUGCGGGAUGACGGCCUUCGGGUUGUAAACCGCUUUCGCCUGUGACGAAGCGUGAGUGACGGUAAUGGGUAAAGAAGCACCGGCUAACUACGUG
RNAcentral lists this ribosomal RNA (468 nucleotides) under uncultured bacterium. RNAcentral describes it as "partial 16S ribosomal RNA". It matches the Rfam family "Bacterial small subunit ribosomal RNA", at positions 28 to 507 of the family's 1533-position model. The record is from RNAcentral.